GGGAACUGAAACAUCUAAGAACACAGAGGAAAAGAAAUCAACCGAGAUUCCCCCAGUAGCGGCGAGAGAACGGGGAGCAGCCCAGAGUCUGAAUCAGCUUGUGUGUUAGUGGAACGGUAUGGAAAGUCCGACGGUACAGGGUGAUAGUCCCGUACACCAAAAUGCACAGGCUGUGAACUCGAAGAGUAGGGCUGGACACGUGGUAUCCUGUCUGAAUAUUGGGGGACCA
Molecule: ribosomal RNA, 229 nt
Filed under: Klebsiella pneumoniae
Lineage: Bacteria; Pseudomonadati; Pseudomonadota; Gammaproteobacteria; Enterobacterales; Enterobacteriaceae
Description: partial 23S ribosomal RNA
Rfam family: Bacterial large subunit ribosomal RNA
Source: RNAcentral